RNAcentral lists this ribosomal RNA (303 nucleotides) under uncultured bacterium. Its description in RNAcentral is "partial 16S ribosomal RNA". It matches the Rfam family "Bacterial small subunit ribosomal RNA", at positions 507 to 807 of the family's 1533-position model. The record is from RNAcentral.
AGCAGUAGCCACGGGAAUACGUAGGUGGCAAGCGUUGUCCGGAAUUAUUGGGCGUAAAGCGCGCGCAGGUGGUUUAAUAAGUCUGAUGUGAAAGCCCACGGCUCAACCGUGGAGGGUCAUUGGAAACUGUUAAACUUGAGUGCAGGAGAGAAAAGUGGAAUUCCUAGUGUAGCGGUGAAAUGCGUAGAGAUUAGGAGGAACACCAGUGGCGAAGGCGGCUUUUUGGCCUGUAACUGACACUGAGGCGCGAAAGCGUGGGGAGCAAACAGGAUUAGAGACCCCCGUAGUCCCUGUCUCUUAUAC